AGAGUUUGAUCAUGGCUCAGAAUCAACGCUGGCGGCGUGCCUCAGACAUGCAAGUCGAACGAUUAAAGCUCCCUUCGGGGAGUGCAUAAAGUGGCGCACGGGUGAGUAACACGUAAGUAAUCUACCCUCGGGUGGGGAAUAACGUUCGGAAACGGACGCUAAUACCGCAUAAUGCAGCGGCACCGCAAGGUGACAGUUGUUAAAGAUUUAUUGCCUGGGGAGGAGCUUGCGGCAGAUUAGCUUGUUGGUAAGGUAACGGCUUACCAAGGCUACGAUCUGUAUCCGGUCUAAGAGGACGGUCGGACACACUGACACUGAAUAACGGGUCAGACUCCUACGGGAGGCAGCAGUCGGGAAUUUUGGGCAAUGGGGGAAACCCUGACCCAGCAACGCCGCGUGAAGGAUGAAGUAUUUCGGUAUGUAAACUUCGAAAGAAUAGGAAGAAUUAAUGACGGUACUAUUUAUAAGGUCCGGCUAACUACGUGCCAGCAGCCGCGGUAAUAC
Molecule: ribosomal RNA, 504 nt
Filed under: uncultured bacterium
Lineage: Bacteria
Description: bacterial SSU rRNA
Rfam family: Bacterial small subunit ribosomal RNA
Source: RNAcentral